UAGUGAAAUGCCUGAUAAAAGGAUUAUUUUGAUAGAAUAAAUUAUGUACUGAGUACUUUUACU
This 63-nucleotide transfer RNA is filed under the name Cleridae sp. 2 ACP-2013. Its description in RNAcentral is "tRNA-Ile". Lineage: Eukaryota; Metazoa; Arthropoda; Insecta; Coleoptera; Cleridae. The record is from RNAcentral.